AUGCAUGCUGGGCUAUAAUUUAUGAAACGGAGCCCAGGAAACAACCAAUCAGUUAGCUCCUCCUAACAAGUCCAACUGGCUACAAAAAGCUGGAAGUGCGGCACAGAACAAUGAAGAGGAGCUAUCCCACGUAUUAAUCUGCUUAUCUGGGAUUGCUUUCUGUGUAGAGAGAGGGGAGCAUGAAACAAGGGGUGGGGGGGGGAAGAGCAAAAUCACAGUUUUGCUGUGGAAACAACAGGAUAAA
This 244-nucleotide long non-coding RNA is filed under the name Anas platyrhynchos platyrhynchos (common mallard). Its description in RNAcentral is "Prostate androgen-regulated transcript 1 conserved region 2 (ENSAPLG00000030580.1)". It matches the Rfam family "Prostate androgen-regulated transcript 1 conserved region 2". Lineage: Eukaryota; Metazoa; Chordata; Aves; Anseriformes; Anatidae. The record is from RNAcentral.